AUUAAACGCUGGCGGCAUGCCUUACACAUGCAAGUCGAACGGUAGCGCGGGGCAACCUGGCGACGAGUGGCGAACGGGUGAGUAAAGCAUCGGAACGUGCCCUGGAAUGGGGGAUAACGUAGCGAAAGUUACGCUAAUACCGCAUAUUCUGUGAGCAGGAAAGCAGGGGAUCGCAAGACCUUGCGUUCUGGGAGCGGCCGAUGUCGGAUUAGCUAGUUGGUGGGGUAAAAGCCUACCAAGGCGACGAUCCGUAGCGGGUCUGAGAGGAUGAUCCGCCACACUGGGACCGAGACACGGCCCAGACUCCUACGGAGGCAGCAGUGGGGAAUUUUGGACAAUGGGCGGAAGCCUGAUCCAGCCAUGCCGCGUGAGUGAAGAAGGCCUU
RNAcentral lists this ribosomal RNA (385 nucleotides) under uncultured bacterium. RNAcentral's name for it is "bacterial SSU rRNA". It matches the Rfam family "Bacterial small subunit ribosomal RNA", at positions 29 to 418 of the family's 1533-position model. The record is from RNAcentral.